GGCUGGUCCAAAGGCAGUGAGUUAUCUCCAUUGAUUGUUCAUAGUUACAGAAUGAACUCCUUAUUCCACUCUUUCCCCCUUCUCACUACUGCACUUGACUGGUCUUUA
RNAcentral lists this Y RNA (108 nucleotides) under Neogale vison (American mink). RNAcentral's name for it is "Neovison vison (American mink) Y RNA (ENSNVIG00000005538.1)". It matches the Rfam family "Y RNA". Rfam says of the family: Y RNAs are components of the Ro ribonucleoprotein particle (Ro RNP), in association with Ro60 and La proteins. The record is from Rfam by way of RNAcentral. Lineage: Eukaryota; Metazoa; Chordata; Mammalia; Carnivora; Mustelidae.